This 460-nucleotide ribosomal RNA is filed under the name Vishniacozyma victoriae. RNAcentral describes it as "eukaryotic LSU rRNA". The stretch from base 118 to 271 matches the Rfam family "5.8S ribosomal RNA". Lineage: Eukaryota; Fungi; Basidiomycota; Tremellomycetes; Tremellales; Bulleribasidiaceae. The record is from RNAcentral.
CAAUCAUUGGGUUAGAUCUGCUCUCUUCGCAAGAAGAGGGUUUCCAUACACACCGUGAACUGUGGCUUCGGCCAUCACAAACUGUUAGUAAUGAAUGUAAUAUCAUAACAAAAACAAAACUUUUAACAACGAAUCUCUUGGCUCUCGCAUCGAUGAAGAACGCAGCGAAAUGCGAUAAGUAAUGUGAAUUGCAGAAUUCAGUGAAUCAUCGAAUCUUUGAACGCACCUUGCGCCCUUUGGUAUUCCGAAGGGCAUGCCUGUUUGAGUGUCAUGGAACCUCACCCCACUUGGGUUUUUGCCUGAGCGGUGGUGUAUUGGGUGUUGCCUUGCUAAAGGCUCGCCUUAAAGACAUAAGCACCUUGGAUGUAAUACGUUUCAUCCUUCUGGGUGGCUGAUAACCCCACAUAUUCAUGAUCUGGCCUCAAAUCAGGUAGGGCUACCCGCUGAACUUAAGCAUAUC